CACGGGGGGGGCAAGCGUUGUUCGGAAUUACUGGGCGUAAAGGGCUCGUAGGCGGCCAACUAAGUCCGACGUGAAAUCCCCAGGCUUAACCUGGGAACUGCGUCGGAUACUGGUUGGCUUGAAUCCGGGAGAGGGAUGCGGAAUUCCAGGUGUAGCGGUGAAAUGCGUAGAUAUCGGAAGGAACACCAGUGGCGAAAGCGGCUUCCUGGUCCAGCACCGACGUUCAGGCACGAAAGCGUGGGGAGCAAACAGG
This 253-nucleotide ribosomal RNA is filed under the name uncultured bacterium. RNAcentral's name for it is "partial 16S ribosomal RNA". It matches the Rfam family "Bacterial small subunit ribosomal RNA", at positions 524 to 776 of the family's 1533-position model. The record is from RNAcentral.